RNAcentral lists this ribosomal RNA (247 nucleotides) under uncultured bacterium. RNAcentral describes it as "partial 16S ribosomal RNA". It matches the Rfam family "Bacterial small subunit ribosomal RNA", at positions 523 to 769 of the family's 1533-position model. The record is from RNAcentral.
AUACGUAGGGGGCAAGCGUUAUCCGGAUUUACUGGGUGUAAAGGGAGCGUAGACGGUUAGGUAAGUCUGAUGUGAAAGCCCGCGGCUCAACCGCGGGACUGCAUUGGAAACUAUUUAACUAGAGUGCAGGAGAGGUAAGUGGAAUUCCUAGUGUAGCGGUGAAAUGCGUAGAUAUUAGGAAGAACACCAGUGGCGAAGGCGCUUCUCUGGACUGUAACUGACGCUGAGGCUCGAAAGCGUGGGGAGC